RNAcentral lists this ribosomal RNA (253 nucleotides) under uncultured bacterium. Its description in RNAcentral is "partial 16S ribosomal RNA". It matches the Rfam family "Bacterial small subunit ribosomal RNA", at positions 524 to 776 of the family's 1533-position model. The record is from RNAcentral.
UACGAAGGGGGCUAGCGUUGUUCGGAAUCACUGGGCGUAAAGCGCACGUAGGCGGAUUUGCCAGUCAGGGGUGAAAUCCCGGGGCUCAACCUCGGAACUGCCUUUGAUACAGCAAGUCUUGAGUUCGAGAGAGGUGGGUGGAAUUCCUAGUGUAGAGGUGAAAUUCGUAGAUAUUAGGAAGAACACCGGUGGCGAAGGCGGCCCACUGGCUCGACACUGACGCUGAGGUGCGAAAGCGUGGGGAGCAAACAGG